CAAGCCGAGGGGGAAAAAAAAGUCACGUCUCUUACAAACGUGAGUACUAGUACAAUAAAGUAUACCCUUGCUUAUUAGGGGUCAAAAAUAAUGACAGUUUUGCACUGUUUGCGACAGCGACUUUUCGAUUGCACAUGGAGGGUUAAAUGAUUGUAUGACUGAUCUGUGGGCGGGUUUUACAGUCGACCUCCCUCUCUCUUCAGUUCACCCAUCAGUUCAGUGUACCACUGCAGUUCAGUAGCACUGUAGUGUCCUGCAGCGUCAUGGCAGAAUGUCCAAAAAAAGAAAAUACAAAACGCACUUCACUUCAGACUACACUAAAGUGUACCCCUGCUUAAUAGGGGUCAAAAAUAAUGGCAGUUUUGCUCGCUGCACUGUUUGCAACAGCGACUUUUCGAUUGCCCAUGGAGGGUUAAAAGAUUGUAAGAGACAUGUUGAGGGCUGCCUAAUGAACUAAAGAAUAAACAGGAGCUGAUCACACUUUUGAGUGUGGUAAUCUUCACCAGCACUGCACAACAGGCAGCAACCAACAACGGACAGUUUGACUUUUGUUCGUGGAUGCCCAACACACCUUGCACCAUGUGCCAUCCUCCACCCAUAGACAAGGACAGUGUCACUAUGGAUUUGGAGUCAUGAACACACUCCCGGAUGUCAGACAGUCAUGGAGAUGGCUAUCACAUGGCUUUUAGGAAGAACUCAGCCAGACGGAAUACCUCUGGCACAGUACGAGGAACAGAACUUCACUGAGCCGGCAGCCCAAAAGAUGAUUGAUAACUUCAGGCAGGAUCUGAAAGACAUCGAACCACCGCAUCUCUAUCUGUGCCCUAGCCGAAUAGAGAACAGCAUUACCAUAUUACUAUAUAAAUUCUACAAUUUAUGAUGAUGUACUUCAUGGUUAAGAGAGGUACAGACAUUUUGAAAGGUACAUUUUGAGAAGGUUGUUUGAAACAAGAAGAAUAUACUCCUAAGUUACAGAAACUUAUUGGUGAUUGUUGUAAAGCUACCCUCACCAUUCACUUUAUUAGGAACACCAGGUCAGGUGGCAGUAGCACAAUGCAAAAAACUUCAGUUAAUGUUCACAUCAAACAUGAGAAUAUGAAAAGGUGUGAUCUCAGUGCAUAGCUGCUUUUGGAACAGGUCCACUAAUCUUUAUUGAUGAUGUAAAUCAUGAUGGUAGCAGCAGAAUGAAUUCAGUAGUUUAAAUGAAGAUUUUGUCUCCCAAAUGCCAAGUUACAGAGAAAUGCAUCCAAAUUAAUCGGAAGGAACUUUAUCAAGACAAUGAUCGAAUCUUAACAAAGGACUUUAUCAGGGCUAAAAAGUGGAAGGUUUUAGACUGGCCAAGUCAAUCACCAGACCUUAACCCAAUUGAGCAUGCAUUUCACCUCCUGAAUAGGAGACUGAAGGGAGAAGCUGAAACAAACAACAACUGAAAGAGGCUGCGGUAAAAGCCUGGAAAAGCAUCACAAAAGAACAAACCAACAAUUUGGUGAUGUCAGUGAGUCGCAGGCUUGAUGCAGUUAUUGCAAGCAAGGGAUAAGCAACCAAAUAUUAAGCAUUAUUUACUUUAAUUUACUUUAAAACUUAUAUGUUCCUAUACUUUUGCUCACCUAAAAAUUGGGUGGUCUGAUACAAAAAGUUCUAUAGGUUCUAAAGGUUCACAUCUAGAUGUAAAUACCAGGAAAUGAGUUGUUCCAAGCCUGCCUCCAGCGUCCUCAUUAUCUGCCCGAACUUGGGAAAUUGUUACACUGACCCAUUCAGUGUCUGUUGCUCAGUACACCAGUGGAUUCUUUCUUUUUCAGAACAUUCCAAAUUGUUGUAUUUGUUGUAAUGUUUGUGCAAUGCCUCUGAUUGAUUUUCCCUCUUUUCUCAGUUUCAAAAUAGCUUGCUUUUCUUCCAUAGACAGCUCUUUGAUCUUCAUGUAGGCUUAUCCUUUAUAACAACAAAUGCAGUCUUCACAGGUGAAACUGAAGGCUAAAACCAAGAGUAGAUGUUCAGAGCUAUUUGUUUAAACAAUCAGUCUAACAGGACACAUCUGGGUAACAAGAAACACCUGUCAGUCACAUGUUCCAAUAUUUUUGCUCACCUACAAAUUGAGUGGUCUGAUAUAAAAUGUGCUACAUAUAAAUACCAGGAAAUAAAAGCUGAAAUUCUAAACUCUUGAUCUCAAACCCAAAUGUCUUUGGUGUACAGCACAAACAAAUGAAUUGGCCUUGCCGUUCCAAUAGUUUCGGAGGGGACUGUAUAUAAAGAACAACAACAUUGGAUGGGAUCUUGAGACAAAAAAGCAGACAAAGUAAUACAAAUAGGGGUAUUUAAGUAAUAACCAGCCCGUCAAUUUAAAGCCAGAUAAAGUACAGAAAAUAGGACUUAUACACUGAUCAACUCUAACAUUAAAACCACCUGCCUAAUAUUGUGUAGAUCCCCCUUGUGCAGCCAGAACAGCUCUAACCCAUUAAGGCAUGGACUCCACAAGACCUCUGUAGGUGUGCUGUGGUAUCUGGCACAAGUCAUUAGCAGCAUAUCCUUUAAGUCCUGUAAUGUCAUUGUCAAUGUUUAUUUAUAGAGCACAAUCAACAGUUGACCAAUGUGAUGUACAAUGAAAACAAACUACAACAACAGAACAUAAAAUAUACAACAUAACAACACACUGUAUAACAAUAACAAAUAAGUCCAUAUUGAUUAUAAGCUAAAGAGAGCUGCAAGUUGUGGCCACCUUCUUCCAUUGCUCCGUGGUCCAGUUCUGAUGCUCACAUGCCCAUUGUAGGUGCUUUCGGCGGUGGACAGGGGUCAGCAUGAGCACUCUGACAGGCCUGCGUCUAUGCAGAUGCACUGUGUGUUCUGACAUCUUUCUAUCAUAGCCUUUUUCUAUCAUUGACUUUUUCAGCAAUUUGUGCUGGAAGACAAAAAAAAAACAAAAGAAAAUGCUGCCCACUGCUCCGGGUGUGUGUUCACUACUGUGUGUGUGUGUGUGCACUUGGAUGGGUUAAAUGCAGAGCACAAAUUCGGAGUAUGGGUCACCAUACUUGGCUACACUUCACUUCACUGUGGGAUCAGACCAGAUGGGCUAGCCUUUGCUCCCCAUGUGCAUCAGUAAGCCUUGGGAGCCCAUGACCCUGUCACUGGUUCACCAGUUGUCCUUCCUUGGACCAAUUUUGGUAGGUACUGACCACUCCAUACCAGGAACACCUAACAAGACCUGCUGUUUUGGAGAUGCUAUGACACAGUCUAACCAUCACAAUUUGGCCCUUGUCAAAGUCGCUCAGAUCCUUAUACGCUUGCCCAUAUUUCCUGCCAACACAUCAACUUUGAGAACUGACUAUUCACUUGCUGCCUAAUAUAUCCCAGAUCUUGAUAGGUGCCAUUGUAAUGAGAUAUCCAAUGUUAUUCAGGUCACCUGUCAGUGGUUUUAAUGUUAUGGCUGAUCAGUGUUUACCAGCGGCUAUUACCCCCAGUCCUCACCCAGUCCCUCCAUUAAGGGUGUCCAUUUCUCCAUAAACUGAUUCAUUUGAAAUCUUAAACUGUGUGUUAUCUUUUCCAUCACAUAAAUCUCCCCCAUUGUCCGCAUCCAUUCCUGAAAUGUUGGUGAUAUUUCUGGAGCCAUUUAAUUGUAAUAUUCUUCUUGGCAGCUACCAAAUGUAUU
Molecule: long non-coding RNA, 3640 nt
Organism: Pangasianodon hypophthalmus (striped catfish)
Lineage: Eukaryota; Metazoa; Chordata; Actinopteri; Siluriformes; Pangasiidae
Exons: 4
Source: RefSeq, a predicted model, not a curated record